UACUGGCAUUGUUGGUCUCUCCCUUCUGACGAACCAUGAUGUCAUUUAUUUGGUGUUGUGGGGAAUCAGGACUGUUACUUUGAAAAAAUUAGAGUGUUUAAAGCAGGCUCACGCUUGAAUACAUUAGCAUGGAAUAAUGAAAUAGGACGUUUGAUUCUAUUUUGUUGGUUUCUAGGAUCGACGUAAUGAUUAAUAGGGAUAGUUGGGGGCAUUAGUAUUCAAUUGUCAGAGGUGAAAUUCUUGGAUUUAUUGAAGACUAACUACUGCGAAAGCAUUUGCCAAGGAUGUUUUCAUUAAUCAAGAACGAAAGUUAGGGGAUCGAAGACGAUCAGAUACCGUCGUAGUCUUAACCAUAAACUAUGCCGACUAGGGAUCGGAUGAUGUUAAUUUUUUAAUGACUCAUUCGGCGCCUUACG
RNAcentral lists this ribosomal RNA (416 nucleotides) under uncultured Glomeromycotina. RNAcentral describes it as "SSU rRNA". It matches the Rfam family "Eukaryotic small subunit ribosomal RNA", at positions 678 to 1092 of the family's 1831-position model. Lineage: Eukaryota; Fungi; Glomeromycota. The record is from RNAcentral.